AACCCCCAGCUAGGCUGGGGGUUCCGGAAAGCUUUCAGCUAUGAGUCAGUUAUAAAAAAACCUUUUGAUUUGUUAAAACAACUGCGGUCUGGCAACUGCAAGAGAGAAACAAAAAAUCAAAAG
This 123-nucleotide small RNA is filed under the name Enterobacter sichuanensis. Its description in RNAcentral is "Hfq binding sRNA". It matches the Rfam family "STnc490 Hfq binding RNA". Lineage: Bacteria; Pseudomonadati; Pseudomonadota; Gammaproteobacteria; Enterobacterales; Enterobacteriaceae. The record is from RNAcentral.